AGAGGCCGGUUCCCCUCGGUCUCUUGCUCUAGCGGCGGCCGAGGCGGGAGCCGCAAGCCAUGGCAGCGGCCCCCGCUGCAGCCCCCCACUUCCACCGCUGCAGCUCGGAUGCUGGGAUGCUGGCUGGGCGUCUAUUCCUUUCCCUCUCUCUUUCUUUCGGUCUGCCUGUCUGCCAGCCAGCAAGACUAGUUGUACGGUUUCCUGAGGGUAAGGUAUCCAAUAAUAGCUUGUUCAAGGAAGCCUAUGUUUUUCCUGCCUCCUUGCAAGUUUGAAAUUCUUUCUUGGUUUCCAGAAGUCUGUUAAUUUGGCGUGGGACGAAUUUGGUGUUGGAGCAGUAAACAGAAUUCUGCAAAGUGGGAAAGCACGAGAUGUUUCUGGAAUGAAAUACCAACCUACCCAGUGAUCAAUUGCCUACCUUAUCGAAAAGGGUGCACAAUAAAUAUAAUAUCUGUCCUGCAUCUAUAAAUCACUCCCAUGGCUUCUACCUCUUUCUCUUCCAAUAAAGUCUUCAAAUGAAUUUUUGUCUCUUCUGCUCAUCCCUAGCCUCCCUCCCUCCCUUUCUAAUUGUCAAGAGGGAAGAAGGAAGGAAGGAAAUAAAUCUCGUGUACAGUACGGCUCCCAGUUUUAGGAGACAGCUGAGCUUCGGUGUUUAUCAGAUAUUAAUUUUACGGCUGAGGAUGUGAGCCUGUGGUAUCUCUUGCAUACAGAUGAUUUUUCUCUUGACCUACUUCAUCAGACUGGCGGAGAGCAAGGACUUCUUCAAUAACUUAUAUCAAGCUUUUUCUGGCAAUGAUUCUUCCAAAAUUUACUACGGUUUUUCUCCUGGCUGGGAGACUUUCAAAAAGGAUGAUCGGAUUAAAUUCAAGCGACCAAUUUCUCUUGGCAGGUGCCAAGGAGAGUGGAAACCUACAACAUCCGUUCCUGAACUCCAGCUAAUUAUUUUUAAGCAUCUUUGUUUUUUCCCCACCCGAUUAUUUCCGAGAGAUGCAGGAGGAGAAAAAAGUCUCUAUUUCCAGCCUCUGGAAAUGGCUUUAGCAAAAACUGUGGUGACAGUUUCCUUGUUUAUCCUGCUGAUGUGUGCAGGCACGGGAAUGUAAGCGGAGAUAUUAUUGAAAACAAAUGAGAAAUUCUUGGCAGGCAAAAAAAAAUCACCUGGAGGGGGACAUUCAGGGCAAGGAAGAUGGAUGGGUGGGAGGAAGAAGCAAACAACCAAAAAGAAUUAACUUUACGGGUAUGUGAAAACAGAAGCGAAAAGUCGGCAGGUUUCUUCUGGAUCAGAACUUUCCAAAAGUUCAGGGAAGUGUUUGUAUAGCUCAGGAUAUUAGUAUUUUUUUUCCCCAGUCAGAGGAAUGUUUAGAGGAAAUAGAACCAAACAGCUUUUUCUUCAGGGAUUGCUGGAGUGACGGCUGUAGUAAAGUCUAUAUGACUUCUGGAACUGUGUUAUUUUUUUUUAUUUUUAAAGGAAUCACAAGUCCAAGGGCUCCAUUUUGUAGUAUCUCCCGAUGCAAAGCUUCUUUCCUGAGUGAUUAGAAGAAGAAGAAGAAAAAACCAUGUCAUUAAGCGAGGAGUGAAAUAAAGGGAAUUAUGGAGGUUGGGAUGAGUGGGUAAUUUAUCUAGAAUAGAAUAGAGUAGAGUAGAGUAGAGUAGAGUAGAGUAGAGUAGAGUAGAGUAGAAUAGAAUAGAAUAGAAUAGAAUAGAAUAGAAUAGAAUAGAACAGAACAGAACAGAACAGAACAGAACAGAACAGAACAGAACAGAACAGAA
This is a long non-coding RNA of Pantherophis guttatus, 1764 nucleotides long. RefSeq lists it as uncharacterized. NCBI's taxonomy places the organism in Eukaryota, Metazoa, Chordata, Lepidosauria, Squamata, Colubridae. The record is from RefSeq and is a predicted model, not a curated record.